RNAcentral lists this long non-coding RNA (1789 nucleotides) under Helianthus annuus (common sunflower). RNAcentral's name for it is "hypothetical non coding rna". The record is from RNAcentral. Lineage: Eukaryota; Viridiplantae; Streptophyta; Magnoliopsida; Asterales; Asteraceae.
GGCAACUGCAGAACACCGAUAACAACUACUACAUCACAUCGUACGAGCGGUACAGCAUAUUUUCAGAUCGAAUAACAAAUCGGAAUAUGUAAGCAUUUCAGACGUAAAUUAAACACGAUCGGAAACAAAUAAAUGAUUUUGUAAAGAAGAUGAGAUCUAGGGUUUUACCUUGAUGAUUUCGGUAGAGAUCUGCGAGGCUUGAGAGAGAGAGAGAGAGAGGAAGCAGCAACAGCAGCUUUAUAGCAGAAAUUGGGAACGUUUAAAUGUUUGAAAUUCGAAAUCCUCCAGAUAUUUUCUUUUUUUGCCAGAGCUACCGGUUGGCCGGUGAGGAGGCGGGCCACCCCUUAGUCGACUCCACUGAAUAGCUGUCAAGGCUUGGAACGGGUACGACUAGAAAGAUCAAUAGAACUUAAAUUUAGAUUAGAUUAGAAACUCGUCUAUUACAAAGUGAGCAGACGUGCACAGGGCCGGCCGGGAGCAUGUGCUGGGUGAGCGUCGGCUCAGGGCCAAAAACGUUAAAGGGCCCGUGAUAUAUAUAUACACACAUUAUAUUAUAUUAUAUAUAUAAUUAAAACCAUACAUCUCUAACAAAACCAACUGCAGUCUAGUUGUAUCUGGGUUGUCUUUAAAGUCAUAGGUGGUUGCAAGUUCGAUACUCGCUAUUAACGUUUUCUACAAUUUUAGUACUCAUUUUCUUAAAUGCUACAUUUUCUACAAUUUUAGUACUCAUUUUCUUAAAUGCUAUUUCGCACUGUGUUACUUGUUUUCUUUUACUUCUAACUCUGUUACUUGUUUUCUUUUAUCUUUUUUUUUCUUCUUCUAUUCACUUAAGGUUUUCUUUUCAACAACCAAAUUCUUUUAUUGUUUUAUUAUAAUUAUUAAUUAUACACAUAUUUUAUUUUUCUCUUUAACUUUUAAAAUUUCUUUUUACAAAUUAUUCGAACAAACCUAAAUCUGCACGGUUUGUUAUAGUGCCCGUAAUAGGGUUUGAUCGCAUUGUUGAGUGACACGACAGCACGGCAUUGAAUUUUGUUUUACUAGGGCGGGUAGGGCCUGAUUUUUUUUCUCGCACAGGGCCAAAUUUUUUUUAAACAUAUUCGGAGACGGCCCUGGACGCGCACCAUAAACACAAAUUACAUAGUUCAUGUUUUCUUAAAGUCUAACACUAUAACCACAUUAUUGAUUCAAAGUUUUUACUUGAAAUGUCAUAUGUAUAUAAGCAUGAUGUGAAUCUACAACCUUUGUUAUUCAGUGGGUCAAUUUAUUAAUAGGGUCACAUCUAGGGCUGUUUAAAUCGUUCGUCGCUCACAGCUAGCUCGUUGAUCGUUCGGAAAACGCUCAGAAUAUGCUCGCUCGGUUUGGUUCGGUUUGCAAACGAGCCAAGCCUGAGCAAAGGUCCGCUCGGCUCAGUUCGGCUCGAAUUAAUUUUUAUUAAUUUAUUACGUAUACACAAAUUACAUGUAUAUUCGUAUUUUAUACAUACCAUUCUAUUAGAUUUGGACCACUAUACUCAAAUAUACAAUUAUAUUUAUCCAUACUAGCCUAAUCAACAUGUGUUUGUCCCGUUUGCGUUUGAUACCUUUGGUGGUCUCGCUCCUGACGCUGUACGACUCUUGAAUCGGCUUCAAAAAGUCGUUAAUAGUAAUUCUUCGUCGCUAAAGGUUUCAAACUUUGUAUUUAGUAGAAUUGGUUUUUCUAUUCAAAAGGGGGUGGCGGCGCAACUUGUUGCCCGACUACCUGCCAUUGCUUUGUAAUUGCCCUUUUUUCAUGUGGAAUGAUAUAAAUGAUU